AUGAGCUCUUCCAGGAUAUCAAUCGGAUUCAUGAAGACAAAUACCAUCCUUGCCCUCGAUGAGUUGUGUUAUCAUCGGCACUUUAUUGCCUUCCCUCCAACACAAACUUGUCCGUGUUUUGUGUUAUACCCUGAGUUCCUUGGUACCCAGCAUUGUUCUUCUUUACCUUGGAGUAUUACCACCUUUUAUGUCAAGAAUGCCGUGGGAAUUUCACCACCUCUUAAGAAUUCUUGGUAUAGUGAUACUUCUCACCAUCACCAUUCUUUCUUGGUCCUCGUGUUGAUUCCAACUGGGGUACCAACAAGUGAAUGGUGUUGUUUGGAUUCUGCACUUCUAGCAACCCUAUUGCAUUGA
This 354-nucleotide ribosomal RNA is filed under the name Triticum aestivum (bread wheat). RNAcentral describes it as "partial small subunit ribosomal RNA". The record is from RNAcentral. Lineage: Eukaryota; Viridiplantae; Streptophyta; Magnoliopsida; Poales; Poaceae.